Oncorhynchus tshawytscha (Chinook salmon) is the source of this 3170-nucleotide long non-coding RNA. The record is from Ensembl. NCBI's taxonomy places the organism in Eukaryota, Metazoa, Chordata, Actinopteri, Salmoniformes, Salmonidae.
CAGGUCUGGAACAAAAGCUUGCACACCCAGUAGGCCUAUAGCUUUCCGUGACCAGUUGAAUAGAUAGACUCAUAGAGAAUAUAGAAAUUGAGCUGAUGCGUUAGGCUACAGCUUAGCUACAGAUUGUUACACCGUAUAAUGUAAUUUAAUCAAAGAUGUUUGGUAUUUAUUACCGGGAGUUAUAGGUUAGGCACUGGUUGCACAGAGAAUUUUAGACCAACCUUAACUUGCUGAUAUUAUCUUUGUUCUCGAUUCAGUCAAACAUGUAUCCUUCAAAAUAUCUGUGUCCAGUUGCAUGUGGUAUGUUUGAAUUUAGAAAAUGCUCCAUGAAUUAAUCCAACAAUGUGUACACCUCCAUCUUGUCUAUUUCAAAUCUUCUCUCAUUGAUUAAGACAGGUGUCCACCCCAAAGUGCCGCAGAUCGAGACACUCACCUGUCUCGAUCAAUGAGAGAAGAUUUGAAAGAUGGCGUGUACACAUUGUUGGAUUACUUCAUUACUUCAAAUUCAAACGCACCACCUGUAACUGGACACAGACAUUUUAGAAGAUACAUGUUUGGAAGAAAUUGUUAAGGUUGGUUGAAAAGUCUCUGUGCUAGACCAAACAAAAGACAACGUUCCUUCGGUCUGGAGCAUCAUAGCUGCUGACCUGUGGCGAAGAAUCAUUCGGAUGAUGCCUCCUGAGGAUGUCCUAGAUGAGGAGACGUCUCCAUCAUCAUCGUGUGAAUCCCCUGGGACCAACAAGGCACAGGGUGGUCAGCAGGGACGAGAGCCCAACACUCAAAAUGUCCCUCCAUGAGUGGCACUCAUCAGGUAGAAGAAAAAGAGGAAGAAGAGGUACCUCAAGGCUCCAUUUUCUUCCUAAUCCUUUUGUGAUUGGACGAACGUGGUCACACACACACACACACACAUUACUUAUGUCAUAUAUGUGGCAGUGCUGGCAGCCCAUUUGGAUCCCAAGGGGCAGCCUGAGCCUUGUCUGAGGGGGAUGCUGGGAGAAGUGUAUUAGGGGGUUGGAAGGGAGGGAGGUGGCACAGGGGGGUGGGGCCUGGAGGCAGCGUCGGGCUGGUUAUGAGCAGCUGCCUGUCUGUAAAGACAGUGGGCGACGCUGCAGCAGCCAGGAGCACAGCUCUCCGGUUACAGUACCUGUCCAUAAAACCAGGCCUCUCGUCCCACUCUUUCCCCUCCAGAGGCCCCCCAAGGUCCCUCGGCACGCCCACAAACCGCACAGGCGACGAAAGCUGCGGCUAUGGGGCCACAACCCCACAAACAAGGGGUAAACAAGGGGAUCUUUUUGAUGUCUGCUGCCCAACAUUGAGGGUCAGAGAUCCAAAUAGGAUUGGGUGCUGCUGGGUAGUACAGGUGGUUGAGUAGGGGUGUCAGGUGGUGGUGGCAAAUGAAGACACCCCAGAGUGAGCUGGGCUCCUAAAAGCAACGACCAGAAUGCAAGGACCAUCCCAUUUAUUGGUUUAUGUUAUUAGUGCAUACCAAAUACUGUUAUAAUCGUUUAGUAUUUCUAUGUACAUUGAUGAUAAUAAUAAUGAUAGAAACAGUAUUGGUAGUUAAAAUUAUAUCAUGUAUAAGCAGGCAAUGUGUUUUUUUACCCAGACCCUGGUUGUCAACCUUGUACCCACCACGGCACACCACCCAGUUGAUCUCCUCGUUAAAAUAUCUUGCAUACCGUAUGACAUUCAGGAGCCGAUGAAGGACUCUGAGAGAGCAGAGCGAAGGACAGUUUAUGGCGGAUUUCUUUACUGCACAGUUUGGCACACCCCCUUUUUUUUGUUUUUUACUGGGAUAGGAGAAGGCUUAACAGUUCAGAAACUAGUAAUAAGCGCCAUGUGAACUAUACAGGUCCUUAAAAUGAGCUCUCAGAUGCUGUUUACAAGACCAGUACCUUUUAAGAGUCUGUCUUUUCCAACGGCGGGAAGUCAAAUUGCCCUGCUCUUAAUUAUUGUCAGGGUGCAUGAUUUUUUAUGAGGACCAGUCACAAUGCGAUACACCCACCCAUUUUAUUUUGACUCUUAUUAAAAGAGAGCGGUUGGUUCAGUACAUUUAUUUAUUUAUUUAGGUUGUCAUUUAUGUAUUUGUUUGUUUAUUUGUUUAUUUAUGUUUUUGUUUAUGUAUAUGCAUAUGAGGUUGACUUUUGGGCACAUUGAAAACAUGAAUGUGGCUUUGCGGUUUAGCAGCCUCUAGCUAGCACUGCUUGCUAUGAGGUGUGAGCUUUGGCAGUGUGGGUGAGCAUGGUGCUCCGUAGACCAGUAGCCAGUAGGUGGUGGUAGUAACACUAGUAUGAAUCAGACUCCUGUAUUGGCCAAUGAUGUGUAUGUCUAGGAUCUUGGCUCAGUAACCAGGGGAAGGGAGAUGGGGAGAAAUGGAAGGAGGGGCCUUUGGUGCACUGUGCUUCCUGUUAGUAGGCACUGGGGAACUCAGGCAUUUACAGAAAUGACAUGCUGCUGACACUGAGCAGCUCAGUAUAGCUGGAUCUUAUUGUAAAAGCUUGGCUAGCAAUGUGUUUGACUUGAAGCACAAUUUACAAUCAAUGUAGAAAGCCGUCCCAAUGAAACCAUAUGUUUGAUGGAACCAUACAUUAUUAUUACAAGGAUUUAUAGUCAAUGCAGUACAUCCCACUCAAAUCUGGAUGUUUGGAGAAAACAUUUCAAUAUUGUGAAUGGAAAUUCAGUUAAACUUGGCAUUAGCAGGGCACUGUUUAGUCAGAGACGGUCAGUGUUUAGUCAGAGACGGUCAGUGUUUAGUCGGGGACGGUCAGUGUUUAGUCGCGGACGGUCAGUGUUUAGUCAGAGACGGUCAGUGUUUAGUCGGGGACGGUCAGUGUUUAGUCGGGGACUGUCAGUGUUUAGUCGGGGACUGUCAGUGUUUAGUCGGGGACUGUCAGUGUUUAGUCGGGGACUGUCAGUGUUUAGUCGGGGACGGUCAGUGUUUAGUCGGGGACGGUCAGUGUUUAGUCGGGGACUGUCCGUGUUUAGUCGGGGACUGUCCGUGUUUAGUCGGGGACGGUCCGUGUUUCGUCUGGGACGGUCCGUGUUUCGUCGGGGACUGUCAGUGUUUAGUCGGGGACUGUCAGUGUUUAGUCGGGGACUGUCAGUGUUUAGUCGGGGACUGUCAGUGUUUAGUCGGGGACUGUCAGUGUUUAGUCGGGGACUGUCAGUGU